This is a small nuclear RNA of Octopus sinensis (East Asian common octopus), 107 nucleotides long. NCBI's taxonomy places the organism in Eukaryota, Metazoa, Mollusca, Cephalopoda, Octopoda, Octopodidae. The record is from RefSeq and is a predicted model, not a curated record.
GUACCAGCUAUGGCAGUACAUAUUCUAAAAUCGGAACAAUACAGAGAAGAUUAACAUAUCCCCUGUUCAAGGCUGAUAUGCAAAUUCAUGAAGCAUUCCAUAUUCUU